CAUGGGGGAACCCUGAUGCAGCAACGCCGCGUGAAGGAUGACGGUUUUCGGAUUGUAAACUUCUUUUCUUAGUGACGAAGACAGUGACGGUAGCUAAGGAAUAAGCAUCGGCUAACUACGUGCCAGCAGCCGCGGUAAUACGUAGGAUGCAAGCGUUAUCCGGAUUUACUGGGUGUAAAGGGAGCGCAGGCGGGACUGCAAGUUGGAUGUGAAAUACCGUGGCUUAACCACGGAACUGCAUCCAAAACUGUAGUUCUUGAGUGAAGUAGAGGCAAGCGGAAUUCCGAGUGUAGCGGUGAAAUGCGUAGAUAUUCGGAGGAACACCAGUGGCGAAGGCGGCUUGCUGGGCUUUAACUGACGCUGAGGCUCGAAAGUGUGGGGAGCAAACAGGAUUAGAUACCCUGGUAGUCCAAGGGCGAAUUC
This 423-nucleotide ribosomal RNA is filed under the name uncultured bacterium. RNAcentral describes it as "SSU rRNA". It matches the Rfam family "Bacterial small subunit ribosomal RNA", at positions 370 to 808 of the family's 1533-position model. The record is from RNAcentral.